Schistocerca piceifrons (Central American locust) is the source of this 857-nucleotide long non-coding RNA. RefSeq lists it as uncharacterized. The record is from RefSeq and is a predicted model, not a curated record. The transcript is spliced from 3 exons. NCBI's taxonomy places the organism in Eukaryota, Metazoa, Arthropoda, Insecta, Orthoptera, Acrididae.
UGUCACUGCCUGCGAAAGUAUGGCCGUCAUUGGAUACGCACAGCGUACAGCUGACUGCACUUCGUGGCAUUUGUAGCCACGUUGUUCGUUUAAAAUAGCAAGUACUGUGUAUUUUUGUCUUGAAUAAGUCAACAAUGCUGUGCUUUUAGCUGAACUUUCGAAGCCAAGAAGAGAGGGAAGCAGCAAGAAGAAGAAUAUGGCUGAUGAACUUCUGCAGAGCAAACUGGCAGAACACAAAAGCAACUGCAUUAUGUGGAAAUCACUUCACUCCAGACCAGUUUGAAACCAACAGAGCUUGUGGAGUGGUAAAACUUAAACCAAAUGCUGUGACAAACAUUCUUUGUCAUCAUAAGCCACCAGUGGGAUGUAAAGCUCCUUCUGAGAGAAACCUGUUGGCCCACUAGAGAAACAAACUGAGGAUACUGAGGUUGGAGAGCCUUCAAAUGUGACCAGUGACAUCAGUCCUCCAGAGAAUCUGGACGCAACAGGAGAUGAAGUCACCACUCUGAAGAACCUAGUACAACAGCUUUGGGCUGAAAUUUUAGCUUUGAAGAGAAAACUCAACUUCUCUCAGAAAGGGGGGAGACAAGAGUGUGUUUAGAAUAAGACAACUUUCUUGCCAGCCUGCAUGGUUUAUUUGGUGCAGAUCUGUUUGCAGUAUUAACAAAGGGGACAUGUAAAGGUAGCAAAUGGUCAGUGGAAUCACUCCAGAAAGGGCUGAGAAUUAAGACUAGCUUGUGGUUGUACAUGGUAGAAAAUAAAUUUCCGUUUCCUUCAGACAGAACCCUGAGAUGUAAUUUAGACCUGGUGUGCUGAGGGAGCUAAUGAGUUUCCUGAAAGUUAAGUUUGACCUCAUG